RNAcentral lists this ribosomal RNA (619 nucleotides) under Philophthalmus aylacostoma. RNAcentral describes it as "partial large subunit ribosomal RNA". It matches the Rfam family "Eukaryotic large subunit ribosomal RNA", at positions 424 to 937 of the family's 3401-position model. The record is from RNAcentral. Lineage: Eukaryota; Metazoa; Platyhelminthes; Trematoda; Plagiorchiida; Philophthalmidae.
GGGAUGGCAGGUAGCCUGUUGUGCACUUUUGUGCCUCCAGGUGUAAUAGCUGACUGCAUCGGUUCUGUGCGGUACGUCGGAGACGGCGGCUUGUUGUGUGUGCAGGCGUGCUGUUGUGCUGACGGCUUCGAGUCUGGUUGCCUUGUUGCUUGUGAACGCAGGCCGGGUGAUGGCUUGUUGCUGUUCAGUGCGCAGUUGCGUUUGUGACACUAUGACAGGGCCAACAGUCUGUGGUGUAGUGGUAGACUAUCCACCUGACCCGUCUUGAAACACGGACCAAGGAGAGUAACAUGUGCGCGAGUCAUUGGGCGUUACGAAACCCAAAGGCGCAGUGAAAGUAAAGGUUCGGCUUGUCCGAGCUGAGGUGAGAUCCUGUCGUUUCUCACGCGUGGUACUACCAAGCAUCGAGCGGCAGGCGCAUCACCGGCCCGUCCCAUGGCGUGGCAGCCUCGUGCCAGCCUAUCGCCGGGGCGGAGCAUGAGCGUACAUGUUGAGACCCGAAAGAUGGUGAACUAUGCUUGCGCAGGUUGAAGCCAGAGGAAACUCUGGUGGAGGACAGCAGCGAUUCUGACGUGCAAAUCGAUCGUCAAACGUGAGUAUAGGGGCGAAAGACUAAUCG